UACGAGGGGGGCAAAUGUUGUUCGGAAUCACUGGGCGUAAAGGGCGCGUAGGCGGGUUCUUAAGUAAGGUGUUUAAUCCCGGGGCCCAACCCCGGACCGGCACUUUAAACUGGGAAUCUUGAAUAGUGGAGAGGUCGGUGGAAUUGGGGGUGUAGCGGUGGAAUGCGUAGAGAUCCCCAAGAACACCAGUUGCGAAGGCGGCCGACUGGACACAUAUUGACGCUGAGGCUCGAAAGCGUGGGGAGCAAACAGG
Molecule: ribosomal RNA, 253 nt
Filed under: uncultured bacterium
Lineage: Bacteria
Description: partial 16S ribosomal RNA
Rfam family: Bacterial small subunit ribosomal RNA
Source: RNAcentral